RNAcentral lists this ribosomal RNA (1465 nucleotides) under metagenome. Its description in RNAcentral is "bacterial LSU rRNA". It matches the Rfam family "Bacterial large subunit ribosomal RNA", at positions 1459 to 2925 of the family's 2925-position model. The record is from RNAcentral.
UUACGAUGGGGUGACGCAUAAGGAUAAGCUGGACCUCCUAUGGCUAUGGGGUUCGAUACGCGUAAGCUGGUUUCUCUAGGCAAAUCCGGAGAGGCUUAACAGUGAGGCGUAAAGCAGUAAGCCGUAUGGCUGAAAGCAGCUGAUUUCGUGGUGCCAAGAAAAAACCUCUAAGGAGAGAGAUUGGGAACCGUACCACAAACCGACUCAGGUAGACGAGGAGAAUAUCCAAAGGCGCUCGAGUGAAAGCUUGUUAAGGAACUCGGCAAAUUAGACCCGUAACUUCGGGAGAAGGGUCGCCCAUCGUAAGAUGGGCCGCAGUGAAACGCGAACGGCGACUGUUUAACAAAAACACAGGUCUCUGCAAAGUCAAAAACGACGUAUAGGGGCUGACUCCUGCCCGGUGCCGGAAGGUUAAAAGGAGAGGUUAGCCGCAAGGCGAAGCUUUGAAUUGAAGCCCCGGUGAACGGCGGCCGUAACGAUAACGGUCCUAAGGUAGCGAAAUUCCUUGUCGGGUAAGUUCCGACCUGCACGAAUGGAGUAACGAUCGUUCGACUGUCUUAACGAGUUGCUCGGCGAACUUGUAGUACCGGUGAAGAUGCCGGUUACCCGCAGCUAGACGAAAAGACCCCGUGCACCUUUACUAUACUUUUACUAUGAGUUACGGCCAUUGCUGCGCAGGAUAGGUGGGAGGCUUUGAUACCGGACUUUUGGGUUCGGUGGAGCCAACGGUGAGAUACCACCCUGCGAUUGUUGUGAUUCUAACCUCCUCCCGUAAUCCGGGAGAGGGACAUAGUAAGACGGGUAGUUUGACUGGGGCGGUCGCCUCCUAAAUUGUAACGGAGGCGCGCGAAGCUACACUCAGGUCGUUUGGAAAUCGACCGUCGAGUGCAAAGGCAUAAGUGUGGUUAACUGCGAGACCUACAAGUCGAGCAGAUGCGAAAGCAGGCCUUAGUGAUCCGGUGGUUCUGUAUGGAAGGGCCAUCGCUCAACGGAUAAAAGGUACGCCGGGGAUAACAGGCUGAUCAUUGCCAAGAGUUCAUAUCGACGCAAUGGUUUGGCACCUCGAUGUCGGCUCAUCACAUCCUGGAGCUGUAGAAGGUUCCAAGGGUUAGGCUGUUCGCCUAUUAAAGUGGUACGUGAGCUGGGUUCAGAACGUCGCGAGACAGUUCGGUCUCUAUCUGCUGUGGGCGUAGGAGAUUUGAAGAGGGCUGUCCUUAGUACGAGAGGACCGGGAUGGACGAACCUCUUGUGUUCCAGUUGUCUUGCCAAAGGCACGGCUGGGUAGCGAGGUUCGGUUGUGAUAACCGCUGAAUGCAUAUAAGCGGGAAGCACGCUCUAAGAUGAGAUCUCCCAACCCAAAAGGGAAAUGAAGGGCCCAGGAAGACCACCUGGUUGAUAGGCUGGAGGUUGAAGCGCAGUAAUGUGUGUAGCUUACCAGUACUAAUCGCCCGUUCGGCUUGUCCAA